Molecule: ribosomal RNA, 440 nt
Filed under: uncultured bacterium
Lineage: Bacteria
Description: partial 16S ribosomal RNA
Rfam family: Bacterial small subunit ribosomal RNA
Source: RNAcentral
ACUACGGGUGGCAGCAGUGGGGAAUAUUGCACAAUGGGGGGAACCCUGAUGCAGCGACGCCGCGUGAGUGAAGAAGUAUUUCGGUAUGUAAAGCUCUAUCAGCAGGGAAGAAAAUGACGGUACCUGACUAAGAAGCCCCGGCUAACUAGGUGCCAGCAGCCGCGGUAAUACGUAGGGGGCAAGCGUUAUCCGGAUUUACUGGGUGUAAAGGGAGCGCAGACGGCUGUGCAAGUCUGGAGUGAAAGGCGGGGGCCCAACCCCCGGACUGCUCUGGAAACUGUAAAGCUGGAGUGCAGGAGAGGUAAGCGGAAUUCCUAGUGUAGCGGUGAAAUGCGUAGAUAUUAGGAGGAACACCAGUGGCGAAGGCGGCUUACUGGACUGCAACUGACGUUGAGGCUCGAAAGCGUGGGGAGCAAACAGGAUUAGAUACCCGAGUAGUC